UACGGCGAGUGAAGCGGCAAAAGCUCAAAUUUGAAACCCUCGGGAUUGUAAUUUGAAGAUUUGGCAUUGGAGAAAGCUAACCCAAGUUGCUUGGAAUAGUACGUCAUAGAGGGUGACAACCCCGUCUGGCUAACCGUUCUCCAUGUAUUGCCUUAUCAAAGAGUCGAGUUGUUUGGGAAUGCAGCUCAAAGUGGGUGGUAAACUCCAUCUAAAGCUAAAUACUGGUGAGAGACCGAUAGCGAACAAGUACUGUGAAGGAAAGGUGAAAAGAACUUUGAAAAGAGAGUGAAAUAGUAUGUGAAAUUGUUGAUAGGGAAGGAAAUGAGUGGAGAGUGGCCGAGGUUUCAGCCGCCCCUCGUGGGCGGUGUACUGCCGACGCCGAGUCAUCGAUAGCGAGACGAGGGUUACAAAUGGGAGCGCCUUCGGGCGUUCUCCCCUAACCCUCCACACUGCCACCGACGACAUAAUCCACCCAUUUCACCCGUCUUGAAACA
This 494-nucleotide ribosomal RNA is filed under the name Yarrowia lipolytica. RNAcentral describes it as "eukaryotic LSU rRNA". It matches the Rfam family "Eukaryotic large subunit ribosomal RNA", at positions 85 to 661 of the family's 3401-position model. Lineage: Eukaryota; Fungi; Ascomycota; Dipodascomycetes; Dipodascales. The record is from RNAcentral.